RNAcentral lists this ribosomal RNA (712 nucleotides) under Clavispora lusitaniae. RNAcentral's name for it is "LSU rRNA". It matches the Rfam family "Eukaryotic large subunit ribosomal RNA", at positions 62 to 851 of the family's 3401-position model. Lineage: Eukaryota; Fungi; Ascomycota; Pichiomycetes; Serinales; Metschnikowiaceae. The record is from RNAcentral.
AAACAACAGGAUUGCCCCAGUAACGGCGAGUGAAGCGGCAAAAGCUCAAAUUUGAAAUCCUGCGGGAAUUGUAAUUUGAAGGUUUCGUGGUCUGAGUCGGCCGCGCCCAAGUCCAUUGGAACAUGGCGCCUGGGAGGGUGAGAGCCCCGUAUGGCGCACGCCGACUCUUUGUACACCGCGGCUCCGACGAGUCGAGUUGUUUGGGAAUGCAGCUCUAAGUGGGUGGUAAAUUCCAUCUAAAGCUAAAUAUUGGCGAGAGACCGAUAGCGAACAAGUACAGUGAUGGAAAGAUGAAAAGCACUUUGAAAAGAGAGUGAAACAGCACGUGAAAUUGUUGAAAGGGAAGGGCUUGCAAGCAGACACGGUUUUACCGGGCCAGCGUCGAAAAGGGGGGAGGAACAAGAACUCGAGAAUGUGGCGCGCACCUUCGGGCGCGCGUGUUAUAGCUCGUGUUGACGCCUCCAUCCCUUUUCGAGGCCUGCGAUUCUAGGACGCUGGCGUAAUGGUUGCAAGCCGCCCGUCUUGAAACACGGACCAAGGAGUCUAACGUCUAUGCGAGUGUUUGGGUGCAAAACCCCAGCGCGGAAUGAAAGUAAGAGGUUGGAGCCGCAAGGCGCACAAUCGACCGACCCUGAAGUGCUCGGACGGGUUUGAGUAGGAGCAUAGCUGUUGGGACCCGAAAGAUGGUGAACUAUGCCUGGAUAGGGUGAAG